Long non-coding RNA from Cryptomeria japonica (Japanese cedar), 1356 nucleotides. RefSeq lists it as uncharacterized. The transcript is spliced from 4 exons. Lineage: Eukaryota; Viridiplantae; Streptophyta; Pinopsida; Cupressales; Cupressaceae. The record is from RefSeq and is a predicted model, not a curated record.
CCAAUUCAAAUUUAAAAUCACAAACGGCUAUAUUCGUGUCCUAAAUAUAGUUAUAUUCAUCUUCCAUUAGCAUGAAUUUUGCUGGUUUAUAUUUUGCGUGCUACUGGCAUAUGGUCAGAAAGAUGGACAACGAAGACAAGACGGGUUUGCAUUUAAUGAUUUUAAAGAGAAUGAGAGGCGAGUAUAAAAUCUGAAAGAUUCAACCAGGUUAUUCUCUACCCACUCCCUCUUUUUUCUUGCUGGACUUGAUGAAAAAGAUGGACAACAAUUAAUAAUUGUAAAGAGGAUGGGAAGCAAAUUCGACAUCUGAAAGAUCCUUUGCAAUAUGUAGUAGCUAUUGGGAAGCUGUUGGGGUUGGGUUUGAGAACUAUAAGUUUUGUGGUUCAUUGUCGCUAAGGACUGCUUCGGGUUUGUCAAUCUAUCUAUCUUGUGGAACAAAUCUGCUAAAAGUGUUAAUGGUUGGACUGAAGUCUGCAAUCAUUUUUGUAAUCCCUUGGAAGCCAGAUUUUUGGCGAAUUGAAGCAUGGGAUUGGUGUGGCCAAGGGUGGAGUAGGGCACCACCACAACGUGCCCUGAAAAUUUCUUCCUUCCAAUCUCAUUCUCCAUUUCCAAACUGCUCAUGGACUGUAGCACAAAAGCAACUGUAAAUAUGAAAAUUGAAUAUGAUCCACAAUUGUCUUUAACAUGUGGAUUGGCAUGUAGGAUGGUUUGUUUUAUAGGCGCUGAUCAAAAGGAGGAGGACAAUAGAAAGAAAUGCAUUUUUUUAGUAUUUUCAAUGUACUGCAAGUCUACCAUAUGUUAAAGAUUCGAAGUCUACACAAGCUCUGAAAAUGACCAUUUUUGAAAUUUUAAAAAAGAAAGAUGGAAAGCAGCAGUGCCAUUAGGAAGUAGCCCAGACUUACCAGUUGUGAUAUUUGAGCCAAAGGAUGGUGUCCUGCCACGUAAUGUCUAAAGGCUAUUAUCUGUUUUCCUUUAGUAAAAAUGGACAGAACAACCGUGAACUGUAAUAAAAUCUAUAAUGAAACUAAGGACAGGGGAAAGGGCAUACAUUCUAUAAAUUUAUUUAGGAUGACAAUAGAAGAAUUCAUGUUACUCCAAUUUUUCUUCACAUAUGGGAUUUAGAGUUCUCUAUUAGUGUUUCGUUUGUAUGGAUGGUAGGAGGAGAGUAAUUAAUUGUUAGUGGCCUGAAUUUCUGUGCAAGUAGAGCAUCGGUUGCCCUAAACAAUGCAGAGUGAAGAAAUGUUGCUAUUCCACUGCGACCCUUUAUGCUGCUUCACUGUAUUUUGAAGCUCAAUUGGGUAAACAGACAACAUACCAUUUGACACUGCAAAAAUAAAAUGUAAUAUCCACAUCUCA